CGAGACUCAGUGAAAUUGAACUCGCUGUGAAGAUGCAGUGUACCCGCGGCAAGACGGAAAGACCCCGUGAACCUUUACUAUAGCUUGACACUGAACACUGGUCCUUGAUGUGUAGGAUAGGUGGGAGGCUUUGAAGCGUGGACGCCAGUCUGCGUGGAGCCGCCCUUGAAAUACCACCCUUUAAUGGCUGGUGUUCUAACGUAGACCCGUGAUCCGGGUUGCGGACAGUGUCUGGUGGGUAGUUUGACUGGGGCGGUCUCCUCCCAAAGAGUAACGGAGGAGCACGAAGGUUGGCUAAUCCUGGUCGGACAUCAGGAGGUUAGUGCAAUGGCAUAAGCCAGCUUGACUGCGAGCGUGACGGCGCGAGCAGGUGCGAAAGCAGGUCAUAGUGAUCCGGUGGUUCUGAAUGGAAGGGCCAUCGCUCAACGGAUAAAAGGUACUCCGGGGAUAACAGGCUGAUACCGCCCAAGAGUUCAUAUCGACGGCGGUGUUUGGCACCUCGAUGUCGGCUCAUCACAUCCUGGGGCUGAAGUAGGUCCCAAGGGUAUGGCUGUUCGCCAUUUAAAGUGGUACGCGAGCUGGGUUUAGAACGUCGUGAGACAGUUCGGUCCCUAUCUGCCGUGGGCGCUGGAGAAUUGAGGGGGGCUGCUCCUAGUACGAGAGGACCGGAGUGGACGCAUCACUGGUGUUCGGGUUGUCAUGCCAAUGGCACUGCCCGGUAGCUAAAUGCGGAAGAGAUAAGUGCUGAAAGCAUCUAAGCACGAAACUUGCCCC
This 774-nucleotide ribosomal RNA is filed under the name Enterobacter hormaechei. RNAcentral describes it as "partial 23S ribosomal RNA". It matches the Rfam family "Bacterial large subunit ribosomal RNA", at positions 2027 to 2800 of the family's 2925-position model. Lineage: Bacteria; Pseudomonadati; Pseudomonadota; Gammaproteobacteria; Enterobacterales; Enterobacteriaceae. The record is from RNAcentral.